GACGAACCGUGCAAACGUUAUUCGGAAUCACUGGGCUUAAAGGGCGCGUAGGCGGGUCGUCAAGUCAGGGGUGAAAUCCCGCGGCUCAACCGCGGAAGUGCCUUUGAUACUGACGGCCUCGAGGGAGGUAGGGGCGUGUGGAACUUCCGGUGGAGCGGUGAAAUGCGUAGAUAUCGGAAGGAACGCCGGUGGCGAAAGCGACGCGCUGGACCUCUUCUGACGCUGAGGCGCGAAAGCCAGGGGAGCAAACGGG
This 253-nucleotide ribosomal RNA is filed under the name uncultured bacterium. Its description in RNAcentral is "partial 16S ribosomal RNA". It matches the Rfam family "Bacterial small subunit ribosomal RNA", at positions 524 to 776 of the family's 1533-position model. The record is from RNAcentral.